This 671-nucleotide ribosomal RNA is filed under the name uncultured Eubacteriales bacterium. RNAcentral describes it as "bacterial SSU rRNA". It matches the Rfam family "Bacterial small subunit ribosomal RNA", at positions 60 to 733 of the family's 1533-position model. The record is from RNAcentral. Lineage: Bacteria; Bacillati; Bacillota; Clostridia; Eubacteriales.
AGUCGAACGGGAUUUAGUAAACAGAAGCCUCGGCGGAAGAUUACUAAUGAGAGUGGCGAACGGGUGAGUAACGCGUGAGCAACCUGCCUAUGACAGUGGGAUAGCCUCGGGAAACCGGGAUUAAUACCGCAUAAAAUCGUAGAAACACAUGUUUUAACGGUCAAAGAUUUAUCGGUCAUAGAUGGGCUCGCGUCUGAUUAGCUAGUUGGUGAGAUAACAGCCCACCAAGGCGACGAUCAGUAGCCGGUCUGAGAGGAUGAACGGCCACAUUGGAACUGAGACACGGUCCAAACUCCUACGGGAGGCAGCAGUGGGGAAUAUUGCACAAUGGGGGAAACCCUGAUGCAGCGACGCCGCGUGAACGAAGAAGGUAUUCGUAUCGUAAAGUUCUGUCCUAUGGGAAGAUAAUGACAGUACCAUAGAAGAAAGCUCCGGCUAAAUACGUGCCAGCAGCCGCGGUAAUACGUAUGGAGCGAGCGUUGUCCGGAAUUAUUGGGCGUAAAGGGUACGCAGGCGGUUUAAUAAGUCGAAUGUUAAAGAUCGGGGCUCAACCCCGUAAAGCAUUGGAAGCUGAUAAACUUGAGUAGUGGAGAGGAAAGUGGAAUUCCUAGUGUAGUGGUGAAAUACGUAGAUAUUAGGAGGAAUACCAGUAGCGAAGGCGACUUUCUGGA